Molecule: ribosomal RNA, 302 nt
Filed under: uncultured bacterium
Lineage: Bacteria
Description: partial 16S ribosomal RNA
Rfam family: Bacterial small subunit ribosomal RNA
Source: RNAcentral
GCAGUCGCCGCGGGAAUACGUAGGGUGCAAGCGUUAAUCGGAAUUACUGGGCGUAAAGCGUGCGCAGGCGGUUAUAUAAGACAGAUGUGAAAUCCCCGGGCUCAACCUGGGAACUGCAUUUGUGACUGUAUAGCUAGAGUACGGCAGAGGGGGAUGGAAUUCCGCGUGUAGCAGUGAAAUGCGUAGAUAUGCGGAGGAACACCGAUGGCGAAGGCAAUCCCCUGGGCCUGUACUGACGCUCAUGCACGAAAGCGUGGGGAGCAAACAGGAUUAGAUACCCCCGUAGUCCCUGUCUCUUAUAC